Chiloscyllium plagiosum (whitespotted bambooshark) is the source of this 560-nucleotide non-coding RNA. NCBI's taxonomy places the organism in Eukaryota, Metazoa, Chordata, Chondrichthyes, Orectolobiformes, Hemiscylliidae. The record is from the annotation of a RefSeq genome assembly.
CACUCCUGGGUCGGAUCUGUUUAGAAAGAUCUUAGCAGGACCGCUUCCCACAAGUUAUCAGAAUGAUUGUGUCGACACUUUUUCUCAGUUUGUUACUGACUUUCUUAUCAUGUGUCCAGUCGGAGGUUGUUUUGACCCAGCCAGAGGCAGAGACUGGCCGUCCCGCAGGCAGCCUGAAACUGACCUGUAAAACCAGCGGGUUCGAUCUUAGCAGCUACAGCAUGAGCUGGGUCCGACAGGUUCCCGGACAGGGUCUGGAGUGGCUGCUUUGGUACUAUGAUUCAUCCAGCAGUAACUCUGCACCAGCGAUUAAGGGUCGAUUUACUGCGUCCAAAGACACAUCAAACAACAUUUUCGCGUUGGACAUGGAGAACCUGAAGAUCGAAGACACCACCAUCUAUUCCUGUGCAAGAGACCACAGCGAGAGGAACCAGGGCUGGACCCGUUCAAAAACAGCCCGAGGGAACAUUUUGUCAAUUCCAUCAUAAACUGACGAGCUAGUUAUUGUGUGACCCAGUCCAGAGGAUGUUACACUGUGACGAUCUUGAUUACUGGGGCCA